GUGUGUUUAAGUGGGUGGGCUCCUUUGCCCCCAGAAAAGAAAGAAGGAUUUGUUAUGAGCCCCCGUAGCAAAGGGUAUGGAGGGGAGAAGUGGGGGCCGAGAGAGAUCAGAGACUUGACUGGAGGGUUGAAUGGAGGCUCUGGGGGAUGAGUGAUGCUGAGCUCUUAGAGAGAGUGACAGUAGAAAAGUCGAGCUGGCAGAGAAGCCAGGGAAGGCUGGGCAGCAAGAACUGAAGAUGGGAUGGCAGAUAGCAUCCUCAAUAAGGAACUAGGAAGCCCAAGGAGCUUCAUUGCGAGUGGGAACCAAAAAAAUUCCAGUACUGACCACAAGGUGACGCCAGACACCCGUGGAUGUAAUGGGUCUUCCCCUCCUGGUGGGCUCCAGAAGCUGGCGAUGGGACCAAGCCCUCCAAAUUCAAAGGAAACCGAGAGGUCUGCAUCCGCGGAAAGUUACUCUGGUUUAAGAAUAAUAUACAGCACACGGAAAAUAAGAAAAAAUGUCUUUAUUAAAGAGACGGGGAGGGUUGGGCCAGAGACUAGACCAGCAGUCUGCAAUCCUUCUGUGAAGGGAACUUAAAAGAUUUUUCCACGGAACCCCUUGACAGGACAAGGAGAGCCAAGAGUGGAAAGUCCAGACGUUACGUUAAGGGGCGGAGACGAGCCUUUAGAGAAGAAGAAAUGCCUUCUGACUGAUGGAUUUACAUUUACUGGAAUUCUUCAGUGACACGAUAAACGAGUCAGCAAGCCCAGCAGGAUUGAAUAACAAGUAGAAAUGCAUUCUAUCAGAUUCAUCUUCUCUGAGAAUGCACUGUGGUAGCUUUGCUCUUGUUUUCAAAUGUAUGGUAUCAAUUGUGCCAGCCAAUAUUCUCCUUCUGGAGCCUAUACUGUCCCAACCUCGGCCAGGAGGAGCCCUGUAUAGAUUGUUCCUCGUGUAAUUUUGAAUGACCCUUAUUUAACGCUUUGCUUUCUGUCCAAAAAAGGUGUAAGUAUUCUAGGAUCACUGUACCUUUCAACCCCAGGCUGACAUGGCAUCCACUAUUGGUGCCAAGAAACUUUGGCUCCUUUGAGAGAAAAUAACACUAGAAACCAAAAUCUUAGCAUUAAGAUGCAUUAUGGAGGUGACAUUUCUCCUGGGCCAUUUCAGUGGAAAAAAAAGUCAAAAUAUUUUUAAUGUAAUGUUUCAUAAAGUCAUGACUUCAUAUUAAUAUAUUCAAUUCCAUUCCAACAGUGCCCUGUUCUUACUCAAAUUGGGAGUCUACAAUUAGCCUUCCUUGUCACUAAUCCUGAUAUCUAGAUUCCUAUCAAAAUAUACAUUAUUUACUUGCUUUAUCUGAUAAUAGUUGAAAAAAUACCCUGUCAAUACGAAUAGUAUAAAUGCUGAAUAAAGUUUUUUAGACUACAUACACCUAAGGGUUUGUCACCAAGUUACUUUUUUUGUUUUUCUUUUUCACUUUACUUCAACUCAAUUUUUCUGGCCACUGUCGCCAAGUUACUUUGUUCUAUGAUCACCCAUGAUCUCUCACACCAUGUGACUAUGUGGGGACUUAUCCGACAGAUAGUUUUGGGUCCAUUGUUUCCAUCCACUUUCAUUGUGAGGAGGCUGCAACUUCCCCUCAGCCCCUGUUUUCUGCUCUACCUUUUCAUUUUACCGUGACUUACAAACGCCCAACAUCCUAACUAAUUCACUUCAUAAUAAUACUUUGUUAUUGUGUUAUUACUUUUCCCUUACCCCGUUGGAGUGUAAGCCUCGUGGAGCAGGGGUUUUAUUCACUGGACCCUGGCAGUUGUACCCUGAAGGCAGGACUAAGAAGGCUGGGCUUGAUUCUGGGGGCCAAGGGGACUCUAGUGGGUCGGGCUGCAAGAGACAGUCUUCACUGAAACAGCAGAAGCCGCUCUAGGCUGCUCCCAGUUACUCAUUUCCCCCAACCACCACCACCACCACAAGCACUUCCCCCAAUUCCUGCAGGACUCAGUGAGAGGCUAUGAAAACAAAGCAAGCCAGCAGUGCUGAGCCUGGGCCCCCAGACUCAGUAACUGGGCAACUGGGCAAUUGGAGCUUCUAGGAAAAAAGUGUGGCAGAAAGCUGAGCCUUAUGAUGAGAAAGCUGUGCCGGCUCCUGGUUUGCCCAGAGAAGUUCCACUUUACAGCUGCGGUCCUGCUGUAAUUAUGAAUCACAUUCCUUUUCACUCAUGAUCUCUCAUUGCAUUGGAGGGGGGAGGGAGGAGGGCUGGGACUCAGGAUAGAAGUGCUCCAGGGCAGAGGGAAAUGGUAGAGAAGGCAGUCCCUCCACAAGUGGGGCUUGGCAUGGCUGGGGCAUCAUAAAUGCAUGUUCAGGACAUGGAGAGACAACAGAAGAAUCAAGAGAAAUUUCUGUAUAUGUAUAUAUACCAAAAAGCGGAUGGGCACUGGGACUAGUUGUGAGAGACUCAAGUAGAGGGAGGUGGGGUCCUUUCUUGGUUCUGGGCCUGGGCUGGGGCAGAAGGAUAGUGCCCCUCACCACCCACCAUAAGGGGGCAGGAAGAGAGAGGAGGGAGGGCGAUGACUGGUAGAGUAAUAUGGUCUUUGUUUUUGCAAACUGAAAGUGUGUUUCCAGUUCAGGUCAAAUAUAAAAUUAGCACACACUCUAACAGACAACACAGAGAAGCAUACAGAAUAACAAAGGAAAAGGAGGAACAGGUCUUCAGCGAUCUCAUGCUCCUGGAGAGACCCCUCCAGGUGGUGAAGGGCUGUGGCCUCUGGAAAACACUCAGUUGAUGCGGUUAGACUGUCCCACCACUGGGCUGGCUGGAAAGAGUCCAGGAAGCGGGGAUGGAGAGAAGCCAACACAGGCUCCUGAGCUUUGAGAGGGUUAGAAGGCAAGGUGCAGGCCCUGCUCAUCAAUCCCUUCACCCCUCAACAAGUUUCCUCCCCCCAUUCCUUCUCUGCAGUUGGCUCUUUUCUUUACCUGGUAGGGGAAAGGAGUGGGUAGAGGCUUCCAGAGGUGGGUCCUAAAUGAGCAGAUUAAGAGGGGCUGGGGAUACCGUGAGUAAGCUGUCAAGGAAAAGAGGGUCCCCCAGGGAUUUCCUGUGGGGUAGGGCCUCCAGGAAAGGCCCAGGAUCACCCUGACCAGGUGAGGCUUAUGCCAGUUGCCUCAACUGGGGUUCUCAUGCAGCCAGAGGCUGGCUCUACCCAGGCAGCCCCAGGUUCUGGACUCCUGGAGCUCCUCCUCCCCGACCCCCAGUCCUCUUGACCAAAGGUGUCCUUUGGAGCCUCUCUGGACUUGAAGUUGACAAUGUACCUAGAACUUUAAAGACACUUUUGGGCAGGGUGGCCCCUUUUUAUUUGCUAAAUUCUGUACUUUAGCAGCUCUACAGGAAAAACAUCGCACACAUUACUGACUUCUGCAUUCUCAGCGCACUGCACACACACAUUUCACCUGCUGUCCGCAGUGUGCACACUGUCAACACUUUACAGUAGUUCAUGGAUCUGCUGUGUUCACACACAUCGCAUUUUCAGUGUAGCUGUGACCUUCCUCCAGGUCACCUAUUGUAGUGCUCGCUGAGCCAUUCACCUCUGUACCGGCAUUUGGCUUGAAGUGAAAUCAACACCAUUGCUCCCAUUCUUCCUUUUCUCUCAAGGAUUCUUCCAGGAACGUGGGCUGUCCAAGCCACCCAGCGUGUAGAGUGUUUGAUCAUUCUUAUCACACAUUUGCAUCCUGCUCUCCAGAAACACGGAAUCAGUCAGACUGUAGUGUCACCAGUUCCCUCGAGCCUCGAAAGUGUAGGAUGUAUAUAUGUGUACAUGUGUGUAUAUAUGGAGAGAGACUCAUGUGUGUGUGUGUGUGUGUGUGUGUGUGUGUGUGUGUUUAGCAGGUGUGUAGUUAAUUCUUCCAUUACAGAUGAGAAAACAUAGGACCGAAGGAAUGAAGUCACUUUUCCCAGGGUUGCUCAGCCAGCAAAUGGCAGCCCUCAGCCUAGAGGUCACAUCUCCUAACCCCCAGUCAGUGCUCUGUUAGACAAACCAGUCUGCCUCUGAUGGAUGCUUCUAGAUGUGUAGACAACAGGCUCUUCCUACUUCUCUCACCCCUUGUUGGUGGAGGAAAACAGAAACACAACUCAUCCCCUCAUGGUUUCAAUGUCAUGCAGACCAGGUUCUCAGCUUC
This 4140-nucleotide long non-coding RNA is filed under the name Callithrix jacchus (white-tufted-ear marmoset). RNAcentral's name for it is "lncRNA (ENSCJAG00000082716.1)". The record is from RNAcentral. Lineage: Eukaryota; Metazoa; Chordata; Mammalia; Primates; Cebidae.